Molecule: long non-coding RNA, 2004 nt
Filed under: Salmo salar (Atlantic salmon)
Lineage: Eukaryota; Metazoa; Chordata; Actinopteri; Salmoniformes; Salmonidae
Description: lncRNA (ENSSSAG00000086090.1)
Source: RNAcentral
GGAGCUCUCUGAGUGGUCUGGAACUCUCUGUGUGGUCUGGAACUCUCUGAGUGGUCUGGGAACUCUCUGUGGUCUGGAACUCUCUGUGGUCUGGAACUCUCUGAGUGGUCUGGGAGCUCUCUGAGUGGUCUGGGAGCUCUCUGAGUGGUCUGGGAGCUCUCUGAGUGGUAUGGGAGCUCUCUGAGUGGUCUGGAACUCUCUGAGUGGUCUGGGAACUCUCUGAGUGGUCUGGAACUCUCUGAGUGGUCUGGAACUCUCUGAGUGGUCUGGAACUCUCUGUGGUCUGGAACUCUCUGAGUGGUCUGGGAACUCUCUGAGUGGUCUGGGAACUCUCUGAGUGGUCUGGGAACUCUCUGAGUGGUCUGGAACUCUCUGUGGUCUGGAACUCUCUGUGUGGUCUGGAACUCUCUGUGGUCUGGAACUCUCUGUGGUCUGGAACUCUCUGAGUGGUCUGGGAACUCUCUGAGUGGUCUGGGAACUCUCUGAGUGGUCUGGGAACUCUCUGUGGUCUGGGAGCUCUCUGAGUGGUCUGGGAACUCUCUGAGUGGUCUGGGAGCUCUCUGAGUGGUCUGGGAGCUCUCUGAGUGGUCUGGGAGCUCUCUGAGUGGUCUGGGAGCUCUCUGAGUGGUCUGGGAGCUCUCUGAGUGGUCUGGAACUCUCUGACUGGAACUCUCUGAGUGGUCUGGAACUCUCUGAGUGGUCUGGAACUCUCUGUGGUCUGGAACUCUCUGAGUGGUCUGGGAACUCUCUGUGGUCUGGGAGCUCUCUGAGUGGUCUGGGAACUCUCUGAGUGGUCUGGGAGCUCUCUGAGUGGUCUGGGAACUCUCUGAGUGGUCUGGGAACUCUCUGAGUGCGGGCACAUGUCUAGUGGUUAAGCGUGUUGGGCCAGUAACCGAAAAGUCACUGGUUCGAAUUCCAGUGAAAGAUCUGUUGAUGUGCCCUUUAGCAAGGCACUUAACCCUGAUUGCUCCUGUAAGGUGCUCUGGAUAAGAGCGUCAGCUAAAUGACUCAAAUGUUAAAUGUAAAUGUGUCUCUUCAGCACAGCCUCCCUGUUGAGCCAAGUGGGGGCUAUAUGUCUCUUCAGCACAGCCUCCCUGUGGAGUCAAGUGGAGGCUAUGUGUCUCUUCAGCACAGCCUCCCUGUGGAGCCAAGUGGAGGCUAUAUGUCUCUUCAGCACAGCCUCCCUGUGGAGCCAAGUGGAGACUAUGUGUCUCUUCAGCACAGCCUCCCUGUGGAGCCAAGUGGAGGCUAUGUGUCUCUUCAGCACAGCCUCCCUGUGGAGCCAAGUGGAGGCUAUAUGUCUCUUCAGCACAGCCUCCCUGUGGAGCCAAGUGGAGACUAUGUGUCUCUUCAGCACAGCCUCCCUGUGGAGCCAAGUGGAGGCUAUAUGUCUCUUCAGCACAGCCUCCCUGUGGAGCCAAGUGGAGGCUAUGUGUCUCUUCAGCACAGGCUCCCUGUGGAGCCAAGUGGAGGCUAUAUGUCUCUUCAGCACAGCCUCCCUGUGGAGCCAAGUGGAGGCUAUGUGGCUCUUCAGCACAGCCUCCCUGUGGAGCCAAGUGGAGGCUAAUUGCUAGUAGAUGAGGUUGAUGGGCACAUGUAAGAUGAGGGCCAUGAGGACAGCUCUCAAUAGCAGUGAAAGUGAGGAAUUCACCUACACAUGGAACCAGGAGAAGCACAUUCUUGACAAAUGCACUCAAACUGCCAAAGAGUGGCUGGUCUGAGAAGAAAUGACUUGCUGUCUUCCUGAAGCCCUGUGUGUGCUGUCCUGUAGCUGAGAGCAAAUAAAAGCAAAGUGCAGCACUAUCCAUUGGAGAUUAUGACAGCAGCAUAUACUGUAGGCCUAUAUCAUAUUACCCUGACCAUACACUCAGCCAUUCUCUCUCAGAACUGAUCAAUAUUGUGAUCUAAAGCCAACGUUGACUCUCCCGAGUGGCGCAGCGGUCUAAUGCACUGAAUCACAUUGCUUGAGGCGUCACUACAGACCCGAGUUCGAUGCCAGGCUGG